Molecule: unclassified non-coding RNA, 1370 nt
Filed under: Homarus americanus (American lobster)
Lineage: Eukaryota; Metazoa; Arthropoda; Malacostraca; Decapoda; Nephropidae
Description: syntaxin-4-like, transcript variant X2
Source: RNAcentral
CUGAAGAAGGAUUAAUAUAAACACACCCUCUUGUGUCGUCUUCUACCCGAGUGAUUCUCAUUAUUUAUUGACCUUUAAGUGCACCUGUACUCCCUAUUAUAUUAUAAACACACUAAAGUUCCAGGUGGGAACAGAGGCAAGAUGGUUCGUGACCGACUGAAAGAGUUUCGAGAAAUCAGUAAACGUCAGAGUACUGCUGAUGAGGACGUGGUCACAAUCUCCUUUGAUGGGAAUGAUGACCAGAAAGUCCUCAUGGAAAGUCUUGACAAGAUUGGACCUCUGUAUACACAGUUAAAGCAAAUGAUGGAAUCAGUGCAUGACCUCAGGACAAUGGUACACGAGCAUGACAAUCGCCAUAAAGUGGAAGAUAAAGUCAACAGUAUCAAAGCUCAGGCUAGAAAGCUACGCAUGUCAUUACAGGAGAUAAAAGCUAGAAGUGAGAAGACCACCGGGGUCACUCACCACGUAACAAAAACACAUCACGUCGCUUUAGUUAUCCACUUGACCCAGGUACUGCAUGAGCUAUCAGUAAUGCAGGCUGACACCCAUGACCGCCAUGCUCAGUAUGUGAGAAAGGAACUCAUUAUAACAGGUCAAGCAGGUAUUGAUGAAAAUGAACUUGAAAGUCUCCUGGAAGAAUCGACAGAAAUAUUUACACAAAAUAUUAUCCAAGAGACACAAGUAGCACGGCAACAGCUUCAUGAUCUGCAGGAGAGACACGACGCUUUUAUUAAAUUGGAAAAAUCUAUCACCGAGUUGUAUCAGUUAUUUCAGGAAGUGGCUCUAUUGGUACAAGAACAAGGAGAGACUAUAAAUAGGAUCGAAAACAAUAUAUUUGAAGCACAGACCAAGACAGAGAAGGCAAAAGUAGAGCUGGUGUCUGCUAGGAUAAAUCAGACGAAAGCGAUGAAGAAGAAGUUUAUAAUCGCUCUCAUUGUUGGAGUGAUCCUGCUGAUUGUCGCCCUCAUCUUAAUUUUCUCUUUUACUGGAUGAGAGUGAGAUGAAUCCACAAACCUGUAGAAAUACUUUGUCUCAACUAAGACUUUGCCUUUCCCAUCAUCUUACGUGGGCAGCAAAUGAACUGUGAUCUAUUUCCGUCUUCAGCAGCUGUGCUAUGAUUUCAUUGUGUGCAUACUUGAAGCUCCCUGAGAGAACAUUCACCGUCUCGUUUCUUCAAUAUUUAAGGUGUCGUGGCUAAGAACAACCCCUAGUCAUCAAAGGAAAUUUAGCAACUUUACAACAUGAAGGUUAGUAGUGUGUCCCAAACAAAAUGCAUCACAGUGUUGUAGUGUGAUCCAUUACAAAACAUGACAACUGAACAGCUUUGAAUAAAAGAAGUGGCAAUUUUGACCAAAUCUCAUAUGUUAAUU